Molecule: ribosomal RNA, 570 nt
Filed under: Triticum aestivum (bread wheat)
Lineage: Eukaryota; Viridiplantae; Streptophyta; Magnoliopsida; Poales; Poaceae
Description: partial small subunit ribosomal RNA
Source: RNAcentral
AUGGACUUCGCACUCCUCAAGCACAUCUCCUUGCUUGACCUUUCCAUCUCCGGGGACGUGUUCCAUGGCUUGCUCUCUGCAUGCCGCGCCUUGGAGAGCUUUUAUAUGUCCAAUGUUCAUACUGCGGGUUGCCUCCGUGUCAGUUCGCCGACUCUUAGGAGCAUCGGCUUCAGCAAAGAAUAUUGUGGGAAAUCAGAUAUCAUCAUUGAGGAUGCUCCUCUCCUUGUGAGGUUCAUUUUACCUUGUACUUAUAAUUGUGUGGCUAUCCGGGUAGUUAGGGCGCCAAAACUCCAGAUAUUGGGCCCUUUAUUUAUCGCCAUCUCCACGAUAGUUGUCUCCCAGGGAAUAAGACCAGACAGCUCGGCAAACUCCAUGCGCACUGUGAAGGUUUUGUCUCUCAGGUGUUCUGGCCAGGAAUUGGAUGCGGUUCUUAACGUCCUCAGGUGGUUUCCCUGUUUGGAAAAACUCUACAUCGUUGGUACUCUUUUGGUCACAUGGAACAGUCUUAUGAGUUCGAUGGAGAGGGCAGUUUACUUGUCACUCUCCUAUGGUUCUAAGUGUAGGUGCUAA